AAAUCCUUUGGGGUGCACGGGAGGAAGCUCUGGUUUCAAACACCAAUGUCUUGGAAAUUGAAGACCAAAAUAGAGAGUGUGACUCUUACUUGAGAUUGCAAGGGAAAUUGAAGACCAAAAUAAUGAGAAUGCUUGGAAAUUGCCUACCCGUGAACUGGAAAUGCAACACCAAUGUCUUCAAUGGCCCAACCCUUUCUAAAUGAGGACGCUGACUUCAAUUUAUGUCCACCGUUGAAGAAAAAUGAGAACCUCUUGAUUGAACUUCAAAGAAAUAUGCCAAGGAAGAGUCACCAAAGAUGAAUGAGUUCACACCACAUGCAGUAGUGGCGAUGAAAGUCCUUUGGGAGGCACGAGAGGAAGUGCUACUUUUCUUGCAAACGCUAAACAAGUAUGUGUCUUACUGUUUUGAUGCAUCAUGUGAUCAAAAUAAUGUAGGCUCAGCUGCGGUUCUCAGAGAUCAAGACUGGAAUGCCAUUGGCCAAAGAGGAGAGUUUUGAACAAGUUGUGAUAGAGGGUAUAACGAGUGGCUGCAAAGGUUCUUCCCUUCGAGUGAGAGAUGGUCGGACGCUCUGAAACCCAAAAUGCCUAUUAUUGCCCCCCUUGUAAGAUAGUAGAAGAUUCAGUCUUUCAUCUAUUUCAAUGUUGUCCCUAUGCCAAAGGAGGUAUGGUGGUAGAUGGGGUUUUCGAGUUGAAAUGAUCCAAGCUAAAUCUGUAAAGGAGUUCAUUGAACAAAUAGUUCACCCCCCAAAGGAAUUAUUAGCAGAAAGAGUCACCAAAGAUGAAUUCACACUGUAUGUAGUAGUGGCAAUGAAAAUCAUUUGGGAUGCAUGGGAGGAAGCACUAGUUUCAAACACUAAAGCAAGCAUAAAUCAGCUAGCCCAUCGUCUUAACACAUAGUAUGACUCUAACUUGAGAUCACUUGGGACUACGAGGGGAAUUGAAGAGCAAAACAGGAAAAGUGCUUGGACCAAACCACUUGAUCAACUGGUAAAGCUUAACUUUGAUGCAUCAUGGGAUCAAAAUAAUGUAGGCUUGGCUGUGGUCUUCAGAAAUCAAGAGGGGAAUGGCAGAGCAAUCAGACAUGGGAUAAGCCUCUGCAGUAAGAUGGGAAAUGCCAUUGGCAAAUGAGGAGAGACUUGAACAAGUUGUGUUAGAGGGUAUAAAGGAAAGCACCUCAAGUAUUUGAUAAAAUGUUACUAUGGAUAUAUAUAAUGGUAAAAUGCAGUACAGAUUGCACAAUUGGAUUGCUAUUUCUCUUCCUGUUUUAUAGUCCAAUGAAUCUAUGCUAGAGUUAAUCUUUAUACUGUUAGCUGGUUGUUGAGGAUUUAUCUUUUAAAUUGUAGCUAACAUCAUCAACUUCAUUGCAAAUCCAGCUUGCAAGCUCAGUUGGGAAUGGAAGAGCAUAAUGAAGGAUAUUUGGCUUUGGCUUCUUUUUUCAGAUAAUAAUGUAGUGCACAGACUCAUAAAAUGGGCACUGGGGUCUAAUGACUCUAGUCUAUAUUGUUGCUUGUAUACGUUCCCCCAACAGUAAAGAGGGCCUUGGCCUUUGACUCUGCAUUUGGGACGCUGACUUUUUACCAAGUCUACUGCUGAAGAAAUAAGAACUUCUUCAUUCAAAUUCAAAGAAAUAUGAAAAGAUAUGUCUUACCCCAGUGUCUCACAAUCAGAGAUCCCUAGCCAAGGCAUGAUCAACUAUCAUGUAUUUCAUAGAAUAAGCCAAAGUUGUCUACCAGCUAGAGGCAGACCUUUUGCAAUUGCCAACACCACGAUUAUGACUAGCAGUGACAGUACCAACAAGUGCAUUGAAAUAUGUUGGUGCUGCCCAUCUCUCAAAACGUCCACCCUGAUGUCUCCACUCUUUGGGGAGAACUUUUCAAAUUGCCUGGAUUGCUUUAAGUUAUAGACAGCAGAAACAGCAACAACUAGAAUGACAGCAACAAUAAUUCCACCAUGAUAAUCGUAUGCUGUUUGAUUCCGAAGGCAGAGAGAUUAUAGCAGAGGCCAAAAGUACAAUAACAGUGGUUGCCUCAAGCGCUUUAAAGACAACUGAGAAGGCCUUUCGUUGGUUCUUUCUGGUUCCAAGAACCACAGCCAGUGCUUUUACUCCAUACUGACUCAAAGCCUCACUGAGCCACUUCAGAUCAACACUGAGAAGGGCAAUGGAUUUGUUAUGCAAGCAACCCUCAUCAACAGGCUGAACAUCAAUGGUCUUGGUCAAUUGGUGCUCUAUAUGUGAAAGAUCAGUUGUAAAUCAGUACACCAUCUUUGGUUCAAUGCUUAGUAGGUCAUGAUUUUUGGUCCUUUCUUCUGUUGCUUUUGGGUUACAUUGGUUGAUGCCAAGAAUUGAUAGAUGUUAUUGCUGCUGGAAAGGUACAUAUAAUCAGAACAUAAGUAGCAUCUGGCAGUUCCUCACUGUCUUAUGCGGACAAUUUGGAGGGACUUGAAUAACUGAACAUUUGAAGUCAUGGAGAAACAAGUUAAAGCGACCAAAAUCUAGUUCCUGAAUCUGCAAAUUGAAUGUUGUACAAUGAAUUUUUUGGGGACCAUUUAAAUUUAUGAUUGUAAUUCUUUAAGAGGCUCUACAUUUUGAACA
Long non-coding RNA from Quercus robur (English oak), 2593 nucleotides. RefSeq lists it as uncharacterized. The record is from RefSeq and is a predicted model, not a curated record. Lineage: Eukaryota; Viridiplantae; Streptophyta; Magnoliopsida; Fagales; Fagaceae. The transcript is spliced from 5 exons.